AAGACUUUUAACAGCGAGCAUGUAUAAUACUCAAUAUGCUUGUAAGCAAAAAGUAUCAAAAUAAUAUCGUGAAAACCUACCUAUAAUAUAUAAAUCAACAAAAUUUAAUUAGAGUAUCUAACUGAAAAUUAAAAUCAAUUUUAAGAAUCACCGAUGAAUUAGGCCUAUAGUCAACAAAGAGUUGCAUAAACAAGCAUUUUGUUGACCAUUCCGAGAAAUCAUACCCCUAAAAAGUCACAACUCUUUCUUAUACCAGUGGAAAAAAUCACAACUAUUAAAAAAAAAGAACUUACAAAUUUCAUCGAAAAAUCACAAACCUAAAAUAUAGAAAUUUCUACAUUAAGUGCAUCAUGAUUUUAAGGUAAUAAAUAAAUAAAAAUCAGAUAGAUAGAUAAUAGAAGAGCAUAAUAUAUUAUAUUUUCAAAAAAAUGAAAAAUAGUUUUUGAAUUAUUAUUUCAAAUGUUGUUGAUAACAAUUUUGAGGCUCUGAUCUGCAAAGAGAUGAGGACGAAAGAGAGGGCAACCACGCCAUGGCUGCAAAAUCAAGAUGAUUUGCCAAGCCAAGAUACGGAUCGUUUAGUCUCCAUCCCCAAUCCAGUUAGCUCAGAAUUCAAAAAAAUCAUCAUCAUUAUCAUCAUCGCCUCUAAUACAACACACAUACAUACCGUAGAUAGAUUAUCAGAGACACAAAAAAAAAAGAUUAUUGCCAAAGGUUGUGAAAUAUAUGUAUAUUUGCCAUUUGAAUGAUCCAGUCAUUUCCAAGAAAUUAACAUGAAUCCAAGGGUUGUUGCUUCUGAAAAAUAAAAAAUAAAAAUCAUUGGCUAAACAAGAGAGGGGCAACCACCCUUGUUAAAGAAAAAUUCCUAAAACUCUCUGUUUUGCCUCUUUUUUUCCUUUUUAGGUUUUCUGGGCUAACUUUUUCUUUGCUGGAAAAGUUGUUUUGGUUCUUCUCAACCAAAAUAACUUUCCACUUUUUUCAUUUGGGAGUUUUCC
This 992-nucleotide long non-coding RNA is filed under the name Solanum lycopersicum (tomato). RNAcentral describes it as "partial TCONS_00180941". The record is from RNAcentral. Lineage: Eukaryota; Viridiplantae; Streptophyta; Magnoliopsida; Solanales; Solanaceae.